Molecule: long non-coding RNA, 504 nt
Organism: Anguilla rostrata (American eel)
Lineage: Eukaryota; Metazoa; Chordata; Actinopteri; Anguilliformes; Anguillidae
Exons: 2
Source: RefSeq, a predicted model, not a curated record
ACUCCUGCCUGGAUGGCAGCUGUUGGGCCUGUUUAGUUUCUCUCUUUGAAUUUUUUUGAUUAUUUAAAUUAAAAUUAUUGUUUAACCAAGUUCUUUACCGUGUGGUCUCCCCUUUUUUGUUAUGACUUUAAUGUGCGGUCAUAACAAAUGGGGGCCUAUUUUUGGACCUAGUUUUUGUAGUUUUGGAUUUGACAUUGUUUUGUCUAAAACAAAUACCCUAGACUUAAAUUCUGAGGCAUAGUUUUUGCAGGGGGUCAGUUGUUGGGAGACACACGGUAAUUGUUUUUUGGUUUAUGCUUUAUUUGGUUAAUAUUUGGUAAAUUUUUUUUUGUUGUUGCAAAUUGAAGAAGUGAAAUACAGGGAAACACCAAGGUGAUAAUCACCUCUAUAAUUCUACUGUCAGAGUCUUCUGCAUUUGGCGGCUUGCUAUAUCUUUACCCCUGCCCUCUGGAGACUGCUGGUGACAUCACUGACCGUAGUUUUAGGGUUCUCCUUCACAGCUCU